Molecule: ribosomal RNA, 254 nt
Filed under: uncultured bacterium
Lineage: Bacteria
Description: partial 16S ribosomal RNA
Rfam family: Bacterial small subunit ribosomal RNA
Source: RNAcentral
CACGUAGGGUGCGAGCGUUGUCCGGAAUUAUUGGGCGUAAAGAGCUCGUAGGCGGUGUGUCGCGUCGGCCGUGAAAACCUGCAGCUUAACUGUGGGCUUGCGGUCGAUACGGGCAUCACUGGAGUUCGGCAGGGGAGACUGGAAUUCCUGGUGUAGCGGUGAAAUGCGCAGAUAUCAGGAGGAACACCGGUGGCGAAGGCGGGUCUCUGGGCCGCAACUGACGCUGAGGAGCGAAAGCAUGGGGAGCGAACAGG